RNAcentral lists this long non-coding RNA (2292 nucleotides) under Coffea arabica (coffee). Its description in RNAcentral is "long non-coding RNA (CARA_LNC006544)". Lineage: Eukaryota; Viridiplantae; Streptophyta; Magnoliopsida; Gentianales; Rubiaceae. The record is from RNAcentral.
AGCAAAGCACUAGACUUUAUUGUUUUUGUAAAGAUCAUACUCAACUCAUAACAUGAAAAGCUCUUUAUAGAGUUCAAAACAACUCCACUAACUCUACUAACUUCACUAACUCCACUAAUUAUAUAGAACAAACAAACAAACAAACAUGGUCAACGAAAAAACAAGUGAAUAUUUCUCAUAGGAAGGUGGGAUUCUUCUCAAGUGCAGCUCUACAUGCUUGGUUGCAUAUGACCUCCUAGUGCUCUUUCACGUGGAUGCAAGUCUUGGAUCACUCUGUAAUCUGUGUCUCCUUCUUAUUGAUUGGUCUAAAUCACAUGCUCCACUAAUGUUUCAGAGGCUAAUAACUCCAAAAGGAUUGUUUGCGAAUGUGCAUGAAUGCUAUGAAAACUUUAAUUGGUCAUACACCUAUUCUAAGAUAGUGCAGUCAAGGGAAUUUCAGCGGAGAAGCCAACCAUCCAAUUUUCAAACUAUUUGGAGGAAGACACAUUUUCGGUAUCCAGCAUCCAAGGGUGACAAUGUUUCCAGUUUGUCUUCUAUCGCAAAUGAGCUGUAUGUUGAUGUUUGUCCAAUUCUGCACAAGUUGAUAGAUCUUCAGGAAUCUAAGUCUCGUAUUGAAAUAGUACAGUUGGCUUUGUCCACGGGUUCUUUAUUUGGACGAUACGGGCCAUUCUCAUGUGAAGAGAAACUUGAACUUGACAAAUCUUUCACUUCUAGCUCUAAUACUUACAAGGAAAUCGAUACAAAAUAAUAAGUGGAGUGAGCAACAACUUGAUGAACAAGGAGCACAUGUACUUCUUUCUUGGACUGAGCAUAUUAGGAUAGAUAUAGAAUGCAUUUCAAACUUUCAUUAAUACAUACAUAUAAAUUUACAAAGAUGUGGUCAUCAUAAGCAUUUCAAAUACAAAGCAUACAUCACAAUAUUCAUAACCAUAAAUGAGUUCAAGAUAUAAGGUUAAUCAUUGAUUUUGGAUAUCUAGUUAUUAACUUGACCAGUUAACACAGUUCAUAGUGUUAACUAUCACACGGUUAGCCCAUUUCAAAUGUCCAUCAUAACACUAGUUCAUAAUACUAACUACCAUUUAGGAACUAGUCCUACCAAAGAGUCAACUUAUAUGAGAGCUCAGUCAAAUAAUAAUUCAACUACUUAUAUUUGGCCACAAUUACGCAUACAUAUAAAUCAAUAACAUAUACACAUACUUAUGCCAUUUUAAUGAAUAAAAGCUUUCAAAAUUAUUAGAGUUUGACAGUUGCAUUUUCAAAAGAUAAAGAGCACAUGCAUCACUUACCUUCACCAAUCAAGUUAGCAUCCAACUCAAUUCUGAAUUGUCCCAAUAGAACUCACCUAAACAUAACAAAGGACUCAAUUAAGUCCUAAAGGCUCUUAUUCAUAUUGAAUUAUCAUAAAAAGGACCGCAAACACCAACCCCAAGUAAUAACCUAUAAUAAACAUCAUCCUCUCACUCAAGUAGAACACAAUAGUCAAUUUUAAAGGUUUACUGAUUCUUGUAAGUAUAGAACUAGGAUGAGAUCUUUAUAUGUGCUUAAAACCCUCUAAGUCUAGUUUCUAACGCAAUAAACAACCUCAAUUCCGAGUUUUCUACACUAAGAUAUGACCAAAAAACUGAAGUGCAUCUAUGUAGAGGCCCAAUCCAGCCCAAACAUCAAAGAGGAAUCCGGUGCAGAUUCAAGGUCAGAUUCGAGGUAGAAGAGGUUUCCGAUUUCGGUUCCCAAGUUCCUUUUUCAACCUAAAUUAUCUCCAAACUUCCAUAGUCAUCAAAAUCAACAUUUUUUACAUCCCACAAUCAUAUUAUUGCAUACAUAAACUUGAAAACGAUUUAUUAAAUCCAAAUCAAGAACCCCUUAGAUCUUAAAUUAACAUAGAGGAAUUCUAACUAAUAAUCUACCCAAGCCAUAAAUCAACCCAACAUCCACAAUUAACCCAAAAAUCCCUCUUAAAUAUCACUUCAAGAAAAAUGCUCCAUCUCUCAAUCAGAAUCAAGAACUAAAACAUCUUAAGAGUAAAGCUUAACAGAAGAUCCAUAUGCAAGACGGCUAAUUUAUGCAAUAAACAAGUUCAAAAUAACUUGGGAUAACCAUAAUACAACAAAACCCAUUAAGGAUCCAUCCAUAUUCAAGACCCAGCUCACUAACUUAACAUUUAAACUAAAAUAACCAUAAUAACUCAAAGAAAUUGGAAUUACCUUUGCUAGUUUUCCAAAAUGAGUAUUUUGCUAGCUUUUCUCCCACUCAGAUAGCCUUUGAUCCUCAAGAUUAGCUCUCAAUUAGAAUGGA